GCGGUGGGCGGCGGUCUUGCACCCCGGAGCUCGCACGUACCCAGUUUCCUCCUUCCGGAGUGGCUGCACUCAGGCACCCAGCGGGCCGGCGGGCGGGUAGCGGCGCGGAGGUCUGGGCGGGGCGGGCCUCCCGGGCUCCGGGGACGCCCACAGGCCCUGCGAGGCCAGAGCAGAGCGCCGGCGGCGGGGAAGAGCGCGAGCGCCGGGGCACGGAGGUGACAGAGGAACCAUAAACCUCAUGAGGAGCCAGUACAGCAUGGGAAUGUGACAGUUCCAAACCCCGGCCACAGAUGGUCCGUGAUGGAAAAUGUGAACCCGACAGGAAGGAUCAUCGGAUGGACCCUGUUUGACAACAUGCACCACCAGUGGCUCCUGCUGGCUGCAUGCUUUUGGGU
RNAcentral lists this long non-coding RNA (395 nucleotides) under Rattus norvegicus (Norway rat). RNAcentral's name for it is "long non-coding RNA NONRATT029960". The record is from RNAcentral. Lineage: Eukaryota; Metazoa; Chordata; Mammalia; Rodentia; Muridae.